This 404-nucleotide unclassified non-coding RNA is filed under the name soil metagenome. RNAcentral describes it as "partial contains 5.8S ribosomal RNA, internal transcribed spacer 2, and large subunit ribosomal RNA". The stretch from base 1 to 121 matches the Rfam family "5.8S ribosomal RNA", at positions 35 to 154 of the family's 154-position model. The record is from RNAcentral.
GAUGAAGAACGUAGCGAAAUGCGAUAAGUAAUGUGAAUUGCAGAAUUCAGUGAAUCAUCGAAUCUUUGAACGCACCUUGCGCCCUUUGGCUAUUCCGAAGGGCAUGCCUGUUUGAGUAUCAUGAACACCUCAACUCUCAUGGUAUGCCAUGAUGAGCUUGGACUUUGGGGGUCUUGCCGGCCUAUGGGUCGGCUCCUCUCAAAUUAAUCAGCUUGCCAGUGUUUGGUGGCAUCACAGGUGUGAUAACUAUCUACGCUUGUGGUUUUCCAUCAGGUAACCUUCAGUGAUGGAGGUUCGCUGGGGCUCAUAAAUGUCUCUCCUCAGUGAGGACAGCUUUUUUGAACGUUUGAUCUCAAAUCAGGUAGGACUACCCGCUGAACUUAAGAAUAUCAAUAAGCGGAGGA